Long non-coding RNA from Miniopterus natalensis, 1211 nucleotides. RefSeq lists it as uncharacterized. The record is from RefSeq and is a predicted model, not a curated record. NCBI's taxonomy places the organism in Eukaryota, Metazoa, Chordata, Mammalia, Chiroptera, Miniopteridae.
AACGAUCGGGAGAAGGAUCCCCUGAUGGUCCAAGCCAUUAGUCUGCGCCUGUGUACAUUUCCACAUCCUGGAUGGGACCGAUGAUUUAAUCAGCUAAGAAUCGUCAAGGCAGAAGAGCUUUUCUGAAUGCAUCAUUGAUUUCCAUGAAGACCAAACUUCUUUCAGGUUGUGGCCCCCGUCUCCAUCGCAGGAUCACUUCCCUCCAGCCAACAGAAAAACGACCACCCCGGGAUUAAGGGGAUGAUUUUGUUGCUUCUGGAAGGAGGGUGGUGAAUUGAUGUCUGCUUUUUAGCUGUUGAAUCCAACGACGUGGGAUAAUUUUUCUGAUUGGCAAUGAAGAAGCUCAACAAUGCUUGUCUCCCUUUGGUGGAAGUGAAAUAGAAUACGAAUUGGGUAGUACCUGUUGCUAUCUGACUUUUUCCAGAUACCAUUUCAAGACAGUUGAAACACCCAAGCUUGUUCCAAAAGAUGCCUGACAAAUUACACUUUAAAUUCUCAAAUGUGACUCAGUGUAAUGUGCCUGCGUCCUGCGGGUGGAGAGGCCUGAGGCUGGCAGUGGAAACGCCAGGGUUGCUCCGUGGGGCUGGAAAUAAGCAAUGGACACAUCUGCACAGUAAGUCUUUGAUGCUCUUUUUUCACCCCCUUGCAGAAAUUUGGCGUUUUCCGAAUUGCCUUGGUAUGCUGGACAGAAUUCCAUAUUCUAGAUCUUUCCUAGCAAUCCAAUGUUUCCACUGUCCUGUGUCACUUACCAUGACUCAGUGAAAGCAUUUUCAUAAUAUAUAUCAUAAGUUUAAAACUAGUUUUGCCUAGUAAUGUCACUCAUAAGACUCUACUAAAAAAUACCAAAAGUGAAGACUCAAGAUUUGUGUAUAAGGCUACUGAACACCUUGCUGACCAGCUAUUUGGAGCCAGAACUCGCUCAUGCUGCCUGCCGGCUGCUUUUCCAUUGUGACCGGUCAGCACGGUGUUUAAAAUUACUUAGUGUAAGUGUAGACACGAGUUAUCUCAUGAUCAGUCAGCAAGGUGUUUUAAUACAGUAUCAUAUCAUUUCUAAUAGUAACAAAGGAGGAAUUUAUAUGUCUUACAGAAGAGAAAUAACUUAGAUUCUAGAGGGAUGACUAUAGAAAUAUGCAAGCUUUCCAGGCACAAUAAAACACAUUUAGUUAAUAAAAGUUCUACUUCAGAGGGUAUCAAAGAAAUAACACACAAAG